GACGAACGCUGGCGGCGUGCUUAACACAUGCAAGUCGAACGAAGUGGCGAACGGGUGAGUAAUGCCUAGGAAUCUGCCUGGUAGUGGGGGAUAACGUCCGGAAACGGGCGCUAAUACCGCAUACUAUCAGAUGAGCCUAGGUCGGAUUAGCUAGUUGGUGGGGUAAAGGCCUACGAAUGCGACGAUCCGUAACUGGUCUGAGAGGAUGAGCAGUCACAAUGUAACUGUGACACGGUCCAGACUCCUAAGGUAGGCUGCAGUGGGGAAUAUUGGACAAUGGGCGAAAGCCUGAUCCGGCCAUGCCGCGUGUGUGAAGAAGGUCUUCGGAUUGUAAAGCACUUGAAGUUGGGAGGCGUUACCAACAGAAUAAGCACCGGCUAACUUCGUGCCAGCAGCCGCGGUAAUUC
Molecule: ribosomal RNA, 407 nt
Filed under: uncultured bacterium
Lineage: Bacteria
Description: partial 16S ribosomal RNA
Rfam family: Bacterial small subunit ribosomal RNA
Source: RNAcentral